Molecule: unclassified non-coding RNA, 266 nt
Filed under: uncultured Trichoderma
Lineage: Eukaryota; Fungi; Ascomycota; Sordariomycetes; Hypocreales; Hypocreaceae
Description: sequence contains ITS2
Rfam family: 5.8S ribosomal RNA (bases 1-52)
Source: RNAcentral
AACGCACAUUGCGCCCGCCAGUACUCUGGCGGGCAUGCCUGUCCGAGCGUCAUUUCAACCCUCGAACCCCUCCGGGGGGUCGGCGUUGGGGAUCGGCCCUCCCUCGCGGGGGGCCGUCUCCGAAAUACAGUGGCGGUCUCGCCGCAGCCUCUCCUGCGCAGUAGUUUGCACACUCGCACCGGGAGCGCGGCGCGUCCACAGCCGUUAAACACCCAACUUUCUGAAAUGUUGACCUCGGAUCAGGUAGGAAUACCCGCUGAACUUAA